RNAcentral lists this ribosomal RNA (497 nucleotides) under uncultured bacterium. RNAcentral describes it as "partial 16S ribosomal RNA". It matches the Rfam family "Bacterial small subunit ribosomal RNA", at positions 28 to 507 of the family's 1533-position model. The record is from RNAcentral.
GAUGAACGCUGGCGGCGUGCCUAAUACAUGCAAGUCGAGCGAACGGACGAGAAGCUUGCUUCUCUGAUGUUAGCGGCGGACGGGUGAGUAACACGUGGAUAACCUACCUAUAAGACUGGGAUAACUUCGGGAAACCGGAGCUAAUACCGGAUAAUAUUUUGAACCGCAUGGUUCAAAAGUGAAAGACGGUCUUGCUGUCACUUAUAGAUGGAUCCGCGCUGCAUUAGCUAGUUGGUAAGGUAACGGCUUACCAAGGCAACGAUGCAUAGCCGACCGGAGAGGGGGAUCGGCCACACGGGAACGUAGACACGGUCCAGACGCCUACGGGAGGCAGCAGUAGGGAAUCUUCCGCAACGGGCGAAAGCAUGACGGAGCAACGCCGCGUGAGUGAUGAAGGUCUUCGGAUCGUAAAACUCUGUUAUUAGGGAAGAACAUAUGUGUAAGUAACUGUGCACAUCUUGACGGUACCUAAUCAGAAAGCCACGGCUAACUACGUG